Molecule: long non-coding RNA, 225 nt
Filed under: Actinidia chinensis (golden kiwifruit)
Lineage: Eukaryota; Viridiplantae; Streptophyta; Magnoliopsida; Ericales; Actinidiaceae
Description: long non-coding RNA (ACHI_LNC000167)
Source: RNAcentral
AGAGAAUCUCUGGCAACAUUCCGGUGUGCGCAACCAGACCAUAUUGGCAUAUGUAAAUUGUGCAUAUUUCCUAUGGAUAUGCACUCGUGUAAGUUGUUUAAAUUAUUAAUUUUUAACUUAUUUUUGAGUAUACAAUCUAAAUUUUAUUGUUAGAGGCCAUAUCAUAGAAAUAGAGGCAUGAAUUAUUUUUUUUUUCCAAAUCUCAUUUAGUUUGUUACAUUAAUC